AUUGAACGCUGGCGGCAUGCCUUACACAUGCAAGUCGAACGGCAGCACGGGUGCUUGCACCUGGUGGCGAGUGGCGAACGGGUGAGUAAUACAUCGAAACGUACCUUAUCGUGGGGGAUAACGCAGCGAAAGCUGUGCUAAUACCGCAUACGCCCUGAGGGGGAAAGCGGGGGAUCGAAAGACCUCGCGCGAUUAGAGCGGCCGAUGCCUGAUUAGCUUGUUGGUGGGGUAAAAGCCCAACAAGGCGACGAUCAGUAGCUGGUCUGAGAGGACGGUCAGCCACACUGGGACUGAGACACGGCCCAGACUCCUACGGGAGGCAGCAGUGGGGAAUUUUGGACAAUGGGGGCAACCCUGAUCCAGCAAUGCCGCGUGAGUGAAGAAGGCCUUCGGGUUGUAAAGCUCUUUUGUCAGGGAAGAAACACCGGCUCUAACACAGUCCGGGAAUGACGGUACCUGAAGAAUAAGCACCGGCUAACUACGUGCCAGCCGCCGCAGUAA
This 501-nucleotide ribosomal RNA is filed under the name uncultured bacterium. Its description in RNAcentral is "partial 16S ribosomal RNA". It matches the Rfam family "Bacterial small subunit ribosomal RNA", at positions 29 to 523 of the family's 1533-position model. The record is from RNAcentral.